Long non-coding RNA from Sycon ciliatum, 535 nucleotides. RefSeq lists it as uncharacterized. The record is from RefSeq and is a predicted model, not a curated record. The transcript is spliced from 2 exons. Lineage: Eukaryota; Metazoa; Porifera; Calcarea; Leucosolenida; Sycettidae.
UCCAAAGUGCAGCGGAGAUGAACAUGGCUUUGCAUAGCUGUUGCUCUACGCCAACUUACCUACUCUUGCUGGUUCCGUAGUGGCAUAUUGCAAAUUUCGUGGACGAACAACUCGAGUCACUAGUGGCUAGUGAGCAACACUAACAGACCAGAAUGCUUCGCCAUCAACUCCUGGCUUUCCAUCGGCAUGGUGUUCAGCUGCAGCGGCAUCUGGUCCGGGGAGUACAAGUUGCUGGAUGGCUGCACUGACACAGGAUGGGUUUGCGUUGGCAAUGCAAUACGGCAGUCAUCCCACAUUAUGAGCUACAAGUUUAUGUAAUUUAUAUUGUCGCUCGUCCAGCAACGUCAAGGCUCUGCAUGUAAACACAGGAGAACACCAUAAUAAUUAUACGACUCAGGGGAUAAUAAUUAUAAAUUUGGAUUAAAUUUGGAUUAUCAAUUUCUUGACAUUUAUGAGUUCCUGUCUAAACCAUGUCGUGAUAUUGAUUGCUACAUGUAUCUGCUCACAAAGUACCUCGUAUUGUAACAAUACUCUG